RNAcentral lists this ribosomal RNA (1076 nucleotides) under Lentilactobacillus buchneri. RNAcentral's name for it is "bacterial SSU rRNA". It matches the Rfam family "Bacterial small subunit ribosomal RNA", at positions 56 to 1088 of the family's 1533-position model. The record is from RNAcentral. Lineage: Bacteria; Bacillati; Bacillota; Bacilli; Lactobacillales; Lactobacillaceae.
UGCAGUCGAACGCGUCUCCGUUGAUGAUUUUAGGUGCUUGCACUUGAAAGAUUUAACAUUGAGACGAGUGGCGAACUGGUGAGUAACACGUGGGUAACCUGCCCUUGAAGUAGGGGAUAACACUUGGAAACAGGUGCUAAUACCGUAUAACAACCAAAACCACCUGGUUUUGGUUUAAAAGACGGCUUCGGCUGUCACUUUAGGAUGGACCCGCGGCGUAUUAGCUUGUUGGUAAGGUAACGGCCUACCAAGGCGAUGAUACGUAGCCGACCUGAGAGGGUAAUCGGCCACAUUGGGACUGAGACACGGCCCAAACUCCUACGGGAGGCAGCAGUAGGGAAUCUUCCACAAUGGACGAAAGUCUGAUGGAGCAACGCCGCGUGAGUGAUGAAGGGUUUCGGCUCGUAAAACUCUGUUGUUGGAGAAGAACAGGUGUCAGAGUAACUGUUGACAUCUUGACGGUAUCCAACCAGAAAGCCACGGCUAACUACGUGCCAGCAGCCGCGGUAAUACGUAGGUGGCAAGCGUUGUCCGGAUUUAUUGGGCGUAAAGCGAGCGCAGGCGGUUUUUUAGGUCUGAUGUGAAAGCCUUCGGCUUAACCGGAGAAGUGCAUCGGAAACCGGGAGACUUGAGUGCAGAAGAGGACAGUGGAACUCCAUGUGUAGCGGUGAAAUGCGUAGAUAUAUGGAAGAACACCAGUGGCGAAGGCGGCUGUCUGGUCUGUAACUGACGCUGAGGCUCGAAAGCAUGGGUAGCGAACAGGAUUAGAUACCCUGGUAGUCCAUGCCGUAAACGAUGAGUGCUAAGUGUUGGAGGGUUUCCGCCCUUCAGUGCUGCAGCUAACGCAUUAAGCACUCCGCCUGGGGAAUACGACCGCAAGGUUGAAACUCAAAGGAAUUGACGGGGGCCCGCACAACCGGUGGAACAUGUGGUUUAAUUCGAUGCUACGCGAAGAACCUUACCAGGUCUUGGCAUCUUCUGCCAACCUAAAAGAUAAGGCGUUCCCUUCGGGGACAAAAUGACAGGUGGUGCAUGGUUGUCCUCCCCUCCUGUCCUGGAAAUGUGGGUUAAUUCCC